UUAGUGGUUGGGGGACUGCGUACCUUUUGUAUAAUGGGUCAGCGACUUAUAUUCUGUAGCAAGGUUAACCGUAUAGGGGAGCCGGAGGGAAACCGAGUCUUAACCGGGCGUUAAGUUGCAGGGUAUAGACCCGAAACCCGGUGAUCUAGCCAUGGGCAGGUUGAAGGUUGGGUAACACUAACUGGAGGACCGAACCGACUAAUGUUGAAAAAUUAGCGGAUGACCUGUGGCUGGGGGUGAAAGGCCAAUCAAACCGGGAGAUAGCUGGUUCUCCCCGAAAGCUAUUUAGGUAGCGCCUCGUGAAUUCAUCUCCGGGGGUAGAGCACUGUUUCGGCUAGGGGGCCAUCCCGGCUUACCAACCCGAUGCAAACUGCGAAUACCGGAGAAUGUUAUCACGGGAGACACACGGCGGGUGCUAACGUCCGUCGUGAAGAGGGAAACAACCCAGACCGCCAGCUAAGGUCCCAAAGUCAUGGUUAAGUGGGAAACGAUGUGGGAAGGCCCAGACAGCCAGGAUGUUGGCUUAGAAGCAGCCAUCAUUUAAAGAAAGCGUAAUAGCUCACUGGUCGAGUCGGCCUGCGCGGAAGAUGUAACGGGGCUAAACCAUGCACCGAAGCUGCGGCAGCGANNNNNNNNNNNNNNNNNNNUGCUGGAGGUAUCAGAAGUGCGAAUGCUGACAUAAGUAACGAUAAAGCGGGUGAAAAGCCCGCUCGCCGGAAGACCAAGGGUUCCUGUCCAACGUUAAUCGGGGCAGGGUGAGUCGACCCCUAAGGCGAGGCCGAAAGGCGUAGUCGAUGGGAAACGGGUUAAUAUUCCCGUACUUGGUGUUACUGCGAAGGGGGGACGGAGAAGGCUAUGUUGGCCGGGCGACGGUUGUCCCGGUUUAAGCGUGUAGGUGUGUGUUCCAGGUAAAUCCGGUUCACUUUAACACUGAGGCGUGACGACGAGGCACUACGGUGCUGAAGCAACAAAUGCCCUGCUUCCAGGAAAAGCCUCUAAGCAUCAGGUAACAUCAAAUCGUACCCCAAACCGACACAGGUGGUCAGGUAGAGAAUACCAAGGCGCUUGAGAGAACUCGGGUGAAGGAACUAGGCAAAAUGGUGCCGUAACUUCGGGAGAAGGCACGCUGACACGUAGGUGAAGUGAUUUACUCACGGAGCUGAAGUCAGUCGAAGAUACCAGCUGGCUGCAACUGUUUAUUAAAAACACAGCACUGUGCAAACACGAAAGUGGACGUAUACGGUGUGACGCCUGCCCGGUGCCGGAAGGUUAAUUGAUGGGGUCAGCGCAAGCGAAGCUCCUGAUCGAAGCCCCGGUAAACGGCGGCCGUAACUAUAACGGUCCUAAGGUAGCGAAAUUCCUUGUCGGGUAAGUUCCGACCUGCACGAAUGGCGUAAUGAUGGCCAGGCUGUCUCCACCCGAGACUCAGUGAAAUUGAACUCGCUGUGAAGAUGCAGUGUACCCGCGGCAAGACGGAAAGACCCCGUGAACCUUUACUAUAGCUUGACACUGAACAUUGAGCCUUGAUGUGUAGGAUAGGUGGGAGGCUUUGAAGUGUGGACGCCAGUCUGCAUGGAGCCGACCUUGAAAUACCACCCUUUAAUGUUUGAUGUUCUAACGUGGACCCGUAAUCCGGGUUGCGGACAGUGUCUGGUGGGUAGUUUGACUGGGGCGGUCUCCUCCUAAAGAGUAACGGAGGAGCACGAAGGUUGGCUAAUCCUGGUCGGACAUCAGGAGGUUAGUGCAAUGGCAUAAGCCAGCUUGACUGCGAGCGUGACGGCGCGAGCAGGUGCGAAAGCAGGUCAUAGUGAUCCGGUGGUUCUGAAUGGAAGGGCCAUCGCUCAACGGAUAAAAGGUACUCCGGGGAUAACAGGCUGAUACCGCCCAAGAGUUCAUAUCGACGGCGGUGUUUGGCACCUCGAUGUCGGCUCAUCACAUCCUGGGGCUGAAGUAGGUCCCAAGGGUAUGGCUGUUCGCCAUUUAAAGUGGUACGCGAGCUGGGUUUAGAACGUCGUGAGACAGUUCGGUCCCUAUCUGCCGUGGGCGCUGGAGAACUGAGGGGGGCUGCUCCUAGUACGAGAGGACCGGAGUGGACGCAUCACUGGUGUUCGGGUUGUCAUGCCAAUGGCACUGCCCGGUAGCUAAAUGCGGAAGAGAUAAGUGCUGAAAGCAUCUAAGCACGAAACUUGCCCCGAGAUGAGUUCUCCCUGAGACUUAGAGUCUCCUGAAGGAACGUUGAAGACGACGACGUUGAUAGGCCGGGUGUGUAAGCGCAGCGAUGCGUUGAGCUAACCGGUACUAAUGAACCGUGAGGCUUAACCUUACAACGCCGAAG
This 2335-nucleotide ribosomal RNA is filed under the name Salmonella enterica subsp. enterica serovar Typhimurium. RNAcentral describes it as "bacterial LSU rRNA". It matches the Rfam family "Bacterial large subunit ribosomal RNA", at positions 582 to 2925 of the family's 2925-position model. The record is from RNAcentral. Lineage: Bacteria; Pseudomonadati; Pseudomonadota; Gammaproteobacteria; Enterobacterales; Enterobacteriaceae.